AUAGAUGAUGAGGUAGAUAGGAUGGAAGUGGAAGUGCCGUGAGGCAUGGAGCGGAACAUUACUAAUCGGUCGAGGACUUAACCAAG
This 86-nucleotide ribosomal RNA is filed under the name Limosilactobacillus reuteri. Its description in RNAcentral is "Lactobacillus reuteri partial 23S ribosomal RNA". The record is from RNAcentral. Lineage: Bacteria; Bacillati; Bacillota; Bacilli; Lactobacillales; Lactobacillaceae.